RNAcentral lists this transfer RNA (69 nucleotides) under Ictidomys tridecemlineatus (thirteen-lined ground squirrel). RNAcentral describes it as "Spermophilus tridecemlineatus (thirteen-lined ground squirrel) tRNA". It matches the Rfam family "tRNA". Rfam says of the family: Transfer RNA (tRNA) molecules are approximately 80 nucleotides in length. The record is from Rfam by way of RNAcentral. Lineage: Eukaryota; Metazoa; Chordata; Mammalia; Rodentia; Sciuridae.
GGGACUGUGGCUCAUUGGUAGAGUGCUUGCCUCACAUGUGUGAGGCACUGAGUUCGAUUCUUAGCACCA